RNAcentral lists this ribosomal RNA (556 nucleotides) under Staphylococcus aureus. RNAcentral's name for it is "bacterial SSU rRNA". It matches the Rfam family "Bacterial small subunit ribosomal RNA", at positions 986 to 1533 of the family's 1533-position model. The record is from RNAcentral. RNAcentral also lists the same sequence under 1 other name. Lineage: Bacteria; Bacillati; Bacillota; Bacilli; Caryophanales; Staphylococcaceae.
AUCCUUUGACAACUCUAGAGAUAGAGCCUUCCCCUUCGGGGGACAAAGUGACAGGUGGUGCAUGGUUGUCGUCAGCUCGUGUCGUGAGAUGUUGGGUUAAGUCCCGCAACGAGCGCAACCCUUAAGCUUAGUUGCCAUCAUUAAGUUGGGCACUCUAAGUUGACUGCCGGUGACAAACCGGAGGAAGGUGGGGAUGACGUCAAAUCAUCAUGCCCCUUAUGAUUUGGGCUACACACGUGCUACAAUGGACAAUACAAAGGGCAGCGAAACCGCGAGGUCAAGCAAAUCCCAUAAAGUUGUUCUCAGUUCGGAUUGUAGUCUGCAACUCGACUACAUGAAGCUGGAAUCGCUAGUAAUCGUAGAUCAGCAUGCUACGGUGAAUACGUUCCCGGGUCUUGUACACACCGCCCGUCACACCACGAGAGUUUGUAACACCCGAAGCCGGUGGAGUAACCUUUUAGGAGCUAGCCGUCGAAGGUGGGACAAAUGAUUGGGGUGAAGUCGUAACAAGGUAGCCGUAUCGGAAGGUGCGGCUGGAUCACCUCCUUUCUAAGGA